AUUUACCUGGGUAAUGGUUCUGUUUUUCAGUGUCCAUCGUACAUAAUAACGGAUAGGAAUCACAAGUGUGUAGAGGACAUGGAGGAAGGCAAAUCCCAGAGCUACCAAGCCAAGCUGCUUUCUGCAAAGCAUCCAGUGGUCAAGCCAGUCUGGGAAUCGGCGGUAUUUUGUACCUCGGUACAGUUGCAGAAUGGCAGCAAUAACACCAGGGAGUUCUGUGUAACAGAAAACACAACAGGAAUACCCCCUAGAUUGGAAAAGCUCCAGGACUGAUUUUUGUCUCCUAUGGAAGCAUCUCCCACAGAGGCUCCUGGAGACCAGGGCCAAACAGGUAAUUCGUGGAUCCACUGAGGUUAAAUCAGGAUACAGAGCUAUUCCAGCACUACCCUGUGAUUGUUGUACUUGCCCUCUUCCCUGCACUCCUAACCCUUGGAAACCAUGCAUCUGUUCUUUAAAUCUCUAAUUUUGUCAUUUUUGAAAUGUUUUAUUUUUUUUAUUUUUUAUUUUUUUUGAAAUGUUUUAUAAAUGAAAUCACACCAAAUGUGAUCUUUUCAUAAUGGCUUUUUUUUCCCAUUUCACAUAAUGCCCUUGAGGUCUAUCCACUUUGGUAUGUGUAUCAGUAGGUUCUUUUUUAUUGUUCAGUAGUGGUCCACUGUAUGGACUUCAUUUGCUUAUUUUUUACCUAUAGGCCAUUUGGUGAAAAGUCAUCUCACCUUAUACCAUCUUCCAGUCAGAUUUUUAUGUUUUAGCUGUUGAAUUUUUAUAUAUUCUAGAUAUGAAUUAUUUGUCAGAUAUGUGGUCUUCAAAUAUUUCAUCCCGCUCUGUGGCUUGUUUUGUCAUCAUCCUAGCAGGGUUAUUGAUAUAGCAGAAGUUUUAAAUUUUGAUUAAAUUUAAUAUAUUGCUUUUUUUCUUUUAUGGAUUGUGCUUUUCAUGUCAUAUAUAGGAAUUCCUCACUUAAACUUUGGUCCUGAAUAUUUUCUCCUCAAAGCUUGAUAGUUUUAUAUUUCACAUUUAAAUCCAUUAUCCAUUUUGAGUUAAUUUUUAUAUAAAGUCUGAGGUUUAAGCCAAGUUUAUUUAUUUUUUUGCCUAUGAAUAUCUAAUUGCUUCCCUACCUGUUAUUUAAAAGGCCAUCCUUCUUUCAUUGAAUUGCUUUUGUACCUUUGUCAAAAAUCAGUUGCCUGCACACGUGUGGCUCUAUUUCUGGCCUCUCUAUUCUGUUCUAUUGAUCUAUGCAUCUGCCUUCUGCCAAUUCUAAGUAGCUUUGAUGCCUUAAAAUUAGGUAGACUGAUUCUUCCCACUUUUUUUUUUUUAAUUUUCAGAAUUGUUUCAGAUAUUCUAGUUCCUUUGCCUUUCAAUGUAAGUUUUAGGAUAAUCUUGUCCAUAGCUAUAAACAAUUGUAUAUUUUAACUGCUUAUACUCCAACAAAUCACUGAUUUUGGCAUAUUCUAAAAAUACAACACAACCUAUUUUGUUUAUUUAGGAGAUAAUUACAGUUUGUAUAACGAUAUUAAUUUAUGUUAAAGCAUAAUAGCAAUGUACGGUUAUCUGAUAAAUAGAUACAAAUCUAAAGUUGUAUAAUGGACUUCUUUUCAUCCUAAGCAGUAUAUUUCUGUAUAUGCAUAGCUGUCAUUUGGAAAAUACAUCAAAAUAAAAAUUUAAA
This is a long non-coding RNA of Canis lupus familiaris (dog), 1660 nucleotides long. RefSeq lists it as uncharacterized. Lineage: Eukaryota; Metazoa; Chordata; Mammalia; Carnivora; Canidae. The transcript has 3 exons. The record is from RefSeq and is a predicted model, not a curated record.